RNAcentral lists this long non-coding RNA (364 nucleotides) under Mustela putorius furo (domestic ferret). Its description in RNAcentral is "lncRNA (ENSMPUG00000029488.1)". Lineage: Eukaryota; Metazoa; Chordata; Mammalia; Carnivora; Mustelidae. The record is from RNAcentral.
GGAUGAAGCAUUAACACCGAGCCAGGUUUCUUGUCGUCCUUAUGGGUCGAGGGCGACAAAUUAUAGCGGAUACUCCUAACACUGGCAGUUUUGCUAAGUAUAAGCUGCUGACAUAUCAACCAAGUAGUAAAGUCCAAAAAUGGUUAAAUUCCUUCUGUUGAACACAUUCGUUGUGUCGCCUGAACUAUGGCAACAGAUACAAGAACGUGAGGCUGCAAGCAUGCGACACGACCCCGCCGCAGGUGACUACCGUGGGACCAGACGGGGCGUGCGCGGUGUGGAGUUCGGGGAGACCAGAUUUAUAAGAAGAAAAGAGUCUGUGACCCCCACACCUAUAGUCAAACAACCUCAUUGUUUGAUAUAA